UAUUUCUACACCGUUGGGGUGAAAAAGGACAAAAAGGGCAAAAACAAGAAGAAAAGAGGACUUUGUCAAAUCAACAAAGGCAAAGAAGUGACCAGGGGCAAAAUGGACGAUGAGGAACAGGGAAUGAAUGGUUUCGUAGAAAACACUCACACGAUGUCCCAACUGAUACGGCUUUGAGACGAUUAAGCGCAAUCAUGUCGGUGAAACUGCGAGACAACAACCCCAACAUUGCCGAUCUCAGUGAUCAAUUCAGACCUACCAAAUUCGGUAAACAGUUUUCUGAGCUCUAUGACAACGAGUGGACAGGCGCCUUUGAUGCCCUUCAGAAUAAGUUUGAAGAGAGACAUGCCAUUAGCAUUCUUUUGGACAUUGUCAUGGAUGCUACGAAUGCUCAACAAAUAUAAAAGACUCUCAAAGAUGGGCGAAAACAAAAGGCCAUGGGCCAUAUAGAGGAAAUACAACAGUUUCAGCAAAAUGAAAACGACGUCAAUACCAAUUGUACAACAGCUGAAACGGGGAAUUCACAUGAUGUUCCAACUGAAGAACUGAAGAAAGUAGAGAGGCCUAUCUUUGAUAAAGACAAAUUUUAAGAAUACACAUCCCGUGGACCAUACGUAGACUACUACGUUUGUCCAAUUAUAUAUCUACACCGAGACGGACCGAUGCUUUGAAAAGGAAUUGCACAAGGUUCUAAACAUAAAAUGGCCGAUGGCAGUAACACACUACCUGUGUCGUGGAAGACGAUGUCCUAACUGUUAACAUACGCACACAUAUCUGGAGACAAGCACGGGAUGGCGGGAUGCAAUCGUUUGGGUUAUACCAAGUGAACGUUUGAGUAUGUACAGUGGCGUAGCAUUUUGAAUAGUUUUUUAAUGAUGAGUGAUCAUGUUUUGGUCUACAUGUGCGUGAUAGAAAUUAUUCGAUGUUGUUAUUUCAAGCGUACCUAUGUAUUCCAUCAAUCGAAAUAAUUUUGAAUGAUGUACCAUCGUUUGCUUACUAUACUUUGAUGUAUGUGUAUUCUGUACAAUACACCAUAUAGAACCACGAACACAGUCGCGAUUUUCUUUCUUAAUUGGGUUUACAAUCAUGACUAUACAUUUAGUUUAAAAUGUCAUUUUCCAUUUAACUUCAUUCACAUUUCCGUAUGUUCAGCCAUUUGUUUUCUUAAAUCAUACGUUAAAAGGGAAUUUACAUAUGCAACCAAAGGCGUUUUAUUAUUGACAAUUUAAAAAAUAGGCGUAAUCAUGUCUACGCAUAGUGGUUAAAAAAGCUAAUGUGUCCCCGUUAUUUAGUAAGUUUCUAAUUUACGACACAUGUACUGACGUACCACAAUCUUAAUUCCAAAUACCGAACAAUGUUUAAGUGAUAUUAUGGGCAUUUUUCACGGUUGAAUUGAGCUGAAAAGAAUUAACAGGUCAAAAGAGUUAAUUAAAAUGUGGUAACUGACAAAUUAUCUGAAACUCAUCUUGCUGCCAGUUGUUUAUAAAAAUAUAUGUUAUAUGCGAUAUUCUUACGUGACUAACCCAGUCAUCUAUGCCGAAAUGAUCCGUAAAACAAGAUUGUGUCUUUGUGUCGUGUGAACGAAUGACAUCGUACAUGAAUGAUCUGUUGUCAAACGAAAGUACGGUUGAUAUUCAAAUGCAUUAUUUUUCUCUUUCCGGGAUAUUGUUUUAGUAUGUUGAUGCUGCAUUAACAAAUAUAAGUGUAUAUGAAGUUAAAACAUCAACAAUAAACAAUGGUUUCGAUAGACACCUAUAAACUGUUAGAUGCCCAUAAUAUCACUUUAAUUAUAAUUGUACUUACAUAUUUCUUCUGUAGUUAUGUAAAAUGUUUUUAAAAUACAAUGGGGGAUGAAAAGGUAGUUUUCAUGAACUUGGCAUUGUGUUUUUCUAAUCGAUUGUUUGUGAAAAAAUAUGGUAUAAUGAGAUUGUUAUUAUAUUUUAAUUCGAUUUAAUUUUUAUCUUGUAUGUAUGCACUUGAAAUUAUACCAACAGAUUUAACGUUGUUCUUGCGCGAUCUAUUGAGUUAAGUUCCACUGUUCUUGUAUUGGAUUAUACCAAUGCUCGAGAGUCAAAUGAAAUGUAUAAUAAUACAAGUAUUUAUAUAUAUUACGUUGUUUCAUUUCAUAAAUAAAGGUAACGUGACCCUUUAUAUUUUAAAUACCAUUUU
Dreissena polymorpha is the source of this 2169-nucleotide long non-coding RNA. RefSeq lists it as uncharacterized. The record is from RefSeq and is a predicted model, not a curated record. Lineage: Eukaryota; Metazoa; Mollusca; Bivalvia; Myida; Dreissenidae. The transcript has 6 exons.